RNAcentral lists this non-coding RNA (95 nucleotides) under Clostridiales bacterium PH28_bin88. RNAcentral's name for it is "c-di-GMP-I riboswitch aptamer". It matches the Rfam family "c-di-GMP-I riboswitch aptamer". From Rfam's summary of the family: GEMM was predicted in a large-scale screen for bacterial structured RNA regulatory elements. Genes associated with GEMM are involved in a diverse array of functions, including chemotaxis regulation, signal transduction, secretion and chitin. The record is from Rfam by way of RNAcentral. RNAcentral also lists the same sequence under 1 other name. Lineage: Bacteria; Bacillati; Bacillota; Clostridia; Eubacteriales.
UCGCGUCAAGGGCAAGCUCCCCGAAAGGGGAUGCGCGCAAAGCCAUGGGUCUGCCGUUUGGCGGUUCGUCAAACAAUGAUUGCCAGGCUGCCGAG